This 1066-nucleotide ribosomal RNA is filed under the name Cladosporium montecillanum. Its description in RNAcentral is "eukaryotic LSU rRNA". The stretch from base 458 to 1066 matches the Rfam family "Eukaryotic large subunit ribosomal RNA", at positions 1 to 631 of the family's 3401-position model. Lineage: Eukaryota; Fungi; Ascomycota; Dothideomycetes; Cladosporiales; Cladosporiaceae. The record is from RNAcentral.
CCCCGGUCUAACCACCGGGAUGUUCAUAACCCUUUGUUGUCCGACUCUGUUGCCUCCGGGGCGACCCUGCCUUCGGGCGGGGGCUCCGGGUGGACACUUCAAACUCUUGCGUAACUUUGCAGUCUGAGUAAACUUAAUUAAUAAAUUAAAACUUUUAACAACGGAUCUCUUGGUUCUGGCAUCGAUGAAGAACGCAGCGAAAUGCGAUAAGUAAUGUGAAUUGCAGAAUUCAGUGAAUCAUCGAAUCUUUGAACGCACAUUGCGCCCCCUGGUAUUCCGGGGGGCAUGCCUGUUCGAGCGUCAUUUCACCACUCAAGCCUCGCUUGGUAUUGGGCAACGCGGUCCGCCGCGUGCCUCAAAUCGACCGGCUGGGUCUUCUGUCCCCUAAGCGUUGUGGAAACUAUUCGCUAAAGGGUGUUCGGGAGGCUACGCCGUAAAACAACCCCAUUUCUAAGGUUGACCUCGGAUCAGGUAGGGAUACCCGCUGAACUUAAGCAUAUCAAUAAGCGGAGGAAAAGAAACCAACAGGGAUUGCUCUAGUAACGGCGAGUGAAGCAGCAAUAGCUCAAAUUUGAAAUCUGGCGUCUUCGACGUCCGAGUUGUAAUUUGUAGAGGAUGCUUCUGAGUAACCACCGACCUAAGUUCCUUGGAACAGGACGUCAUAGAGGGUGAGAAUCCCGUAUGCGGUCGGAAAGGUGCUCUAUACGUAGCUCCUUCGACGAGUCGAGUUGUUUGGGAAUGCAGCUCUAAAUGGGAGGUAAAUUUCUUCUAAAGCUAAAUAUUGGCCAGAGACCGAUAGCGCACAAGUAGAGUGAUCGAAAGAUGAAAAGCACUUUGGAAAGAGAGUUAAAAAGCACGUGAAAUUGUUAAAAGGGAAGGGAUUGCAACCAGACUUGCUCGCGGUGUUCCGCCGGUCUUCUGACCGGUCUACUCGCCGCGUUGCAGGCCAGCAUCGUCUGGUGCCGCUGGAUAAGACUUGAGGAAUGUAGCUCCCUCGGGAGUGUUAUAGCCUCUUGUGAUGCAGCGAGCGCCGGGCGAGGUCCGCGCUUCGGCUAGGAUGCUGGCG